AUGGCUUCUCGUGCCAUUAUCAUCCUCGUGUCUGCCUUGCUCUUCUUCUCGGUGCUCGCGGUCUACCUUCCCGCUGCUUCACGUGCUCGCCAUGCUGCGGCGCUCAACGCGAAAGAUGGUAUCAACUCUGGAGGACGACUGCAUCGUGUUCGUGUGGUGCCUAGUGGCGCGGUGAAGGCUGGCCCCGUCACGAGCGCAUCCGGCGGCUCAGGGCCGAGAAUGGCCACGACUGAGCACCCGGACGACACGGACGCGGCUGCCGAGACGCUCAGGAAAGAUUACAGUUACAGGGGUCCGAGGCGCCCAGGCAGCCCCCUUAUCCACGCGCCGUGA
This 333-nucleotide ribosomal RNA is filed under the name Triticum aestivum (bread wheat). Its description in RNAcentral is "partial small subunit ribosomal RNA". The record is from RNAcentral. Lineage: Eukaryota; Viridiplantae; Streptophyta; Magnoliopsida; Poales; Poaceae.